Molecule: ribosomal RNA, 259 nt
Filed under: Pantoea sp. PNT03
Lineage: Bacteria; Pseudomonadati; Pseudomonadota; Gammaproteobacteria; Enterobacterales; Erwiniaceae
Description: partial 23S ribosomal RNA
Rfam family: Bacterial large subunit ribosomal RNA
Source: RNAcentral
GGGGAACUGAAACAUCUAAGUACCCGGAGGAAAAGAAAUCAACCGAGAUUCCCCCAGUAGCGGCGAGCGAACGGGGAACAGCCCAGAACCUGAAUCAGUUUGUGCGUUAGUGGAAGCGUCUGGAAAGACGCACGAUACCGGGUGAUAGUCCCGUACACGAAAGUGCACAGAUUGUGAGUUCGAAGAGUAGGGCGGGACACGUGGUAUCCUGUCUGAAUAUGGGGGGACCAUCCUCCAAGGCUAAAUACUCCUGACUGAC